Molecule: non-coding RNA, 54 nt
Filed under: Pseudobacteroides cellulosolvens
Lineage: Bacteria; Bacillati; Bacillota; Clostridia; Eubacteriales; Oscillospiraceae
Also listed under: 1 other name
Description: Na+-I sequence
Rfam family: Na+ riboswitch aptamer (DUF1646)
About the family: Proteobacteria, NC10, Acidobacteria, Verrucomicrobia.
Source: RNAcentral
GGUUGGAUGGCUAAAACGCCAUUUCAAGAUAACAGGCUUCUGGGGUGGGAAGCU